AUACCUGAGGCGCAGGAAGCGCUCAGGAUCAUGGAUGAUCGACCAACUGCCAGGACGGCUUCCGGAUGGAUUCGGACUGGUCACGAAAAACCCGCUUCGGCGGGUUUUU
RNAcentral lists this small RNA (109 nucleotides) under Pseudomonas benzenivorans. Lineage: Bacteria; Pseudomonadati; Pseudomonadota; Gammaproteobacteria; Pseudomonadales; Pseudomonadaceae. The record is from RNAcentral.